RNAcentral lists this ribosomal RNA (325 nucleotides) under uncultured bacterium. RNAcentral's name for it is "bacterial SSU rRNA". It matches the Rfam family "Bacterial small subunit ribosomal RNA", at positions 28 to 334 of the family's 1533-position model. The record is from RNAcentral.
GACGAACGCUGGCGGCGUGCCUAACACAUGCAAGUCGAGCGAGAAUUUUUCAACAGAUUCCUUCGGGAUGAAGUUGAAGAAGGAGAGCGGCGGACGGGUGAGUAACGCGUGAGUAACCUGCCCAUAAGAGGGGGAUAACACAUGGAAACGUGUGCUAAUACCGCAUAUGGAGCAUUUAUCGCAUGGUAGAAGCUUAAAAGAUUUAUCGCUUAUGGAUGGACUCGCGUAAGAUUAGCUAGUUGGUGAGGUAACGGCUCACCAAGGCGACGAUCUUUAGCCGAACUGAGAGGUUGAUCGGCCACAUUGGGACUGAGACACGGCCCAG